CUGGUGUUCGGGUUGUCAUGCCAAUGGCACUGCCCGGUAGCUAAAUGCGGAAGAGAUAAGUGCUGAAAGCAUCUAAGCACGAAACUUGCCCCGAGAUGAGUUCUCCCUGACCCUUUAAGGUCCUGAAGGAACGUUGAAGACGACGACGUUGAUAGGCCGGGUGUGUAAGCGCAGCGAUGCGUUGAGCUAACCGGUACUAAUGAACCGUGAGGCUUAACCUU
RNAcentral lists this ribosomal RNA (221 nucleotides) under Shigella flexneri. Its description in RNAcentral is "partial 23S ribosomal RNA". It matches the Rfam family "Bacterial large subunit ribosomal RNA", at positions 2709 to 2925 of the family's 2925-position model. The record is from RNAcentral. Lineage: Bacteria; Pseudomonadati; Pseudomonadota; Gammaproteobacteria; Enterobacterales; Enterobacteriaceae.